CUUAAUAAAACCUCGGCAAAUGUCCGAAAUAUAUUUCUGUGAACCCAGUGUCUUCACCCUAAAUGCAACGACCCGAAAUACUACUGCCGGAUACCGGUGGGUAAAAGUCAGCCCUUGAAUUCAAGUUGCGCCUACCUUCGGGUCAAAAAAAGAAUGUAUUUUGUCGUUUUCAGCGAGGAGUGGAACAUAAUAAACAGCAGCCUGGGGCCCUCCAUGUAUAUAUUACUACAAACCCCAUAAUCCCCACCAUGCCUCUGGAGGCCGCCAGAUUAGGGGAAACUGAUUUCUCUCCGCAUUGACACAAUCGUACAAUUGCGCAUUGUUGUGUAGGCACACACCACAAUACUGGUUGCAGUCCUCCCACACACUGAACCUGGGAGUGGGUUCCAUUGGACAGGAUGGGGCCUUAUUCUGAGAAGAUCUGUAUCUUAAGGAAACCGCUAAGAACGACACGAGGGACGUGAGCCUCAAAUAUCUUUAACAUAGCAAUAAUGGAGAAAUUUCAACAGGAAAAGCUGCAAUUCAGCUUUAUAAGAUAUAGUCAAGCUCGUUCAGCUAAAAUACUCUGGCAUCAUCCGAUGGAACACCCCUAUUCUCUUAAAGACCUCGAGCAAUUUCAAAUCACCUGAGGCAAAACUGAGUGCGGAAAUAUUGUAAGAAAUGUGGCUUAGGUUGGCGGUGCGGAAUUAAUUAGCCGGAUCAAUAAGCUUUUUUUCUUUCAUAAGGCCGGCUCUUGAACAGCAGUAAUAUUAGCUCUAAUGAGGUAGCAGCCGCCUUCCCAUAAAGGAGCAUGAACAGUUAUGUGAAGGCAGCAUUCCCAUGCACUCUGAAACAAACCAGAACUUAAUUCGGAGUAAACGUGAGCCGAGGCGAGGUACGCAGGACGGUGAAUGUAAGGUACAGUAUUAAUAUGGGCCGAGCACCCGGAUCCCUUCCAGAAGCAGAGCGGAGAAGAAACCGAGAACCCUACUUCACAGGCCAAGCUUACUCGGAAGUAAGGCGGAUCCUAAGGAGUCUUAAAGCUUCCAGGAAGGCCUGGGGUCCACUCAUCAGCUGCUACUUUAAGUUAACCGCGAUGUCAAGCAAGUGAACUGCUGAGAAGCGAGUCCCAGACCACCAGGGAAGGCAAGGGGGCAUUUUUGGCCCAUCCGAACCGACACCGCGCAGCCAUCGCUGAAUAAUAAGCCGACGUUUAUGUAAAUCCAGUUGAUCUAAUGGGCCGACUCUAGCUGCCACUCGCAGUUGGUUUGGGACCAUUUAAGGACUUGCUGCGUGAGGAAAUAAGAAAUUGGCUUUAAUCCUCCUUAAUAACCUUCCGCUUCCUUGAAAUUAACUUUCAGUCGUUGAGACCUGUCCUCCAGGAUCCAUCCGUGCUGAUCUACUCGGAAGGAAUUCCCAUCUGGUUUAAUGGGGUUUGUUCCCGAGUAAAUUGCAUAGAGAGGAUUGCCUGUGUUGCACCUGAAACGCGUCGUGGCCUCUCUCUUGCAGUAUAUG
Molecule: long non-coding RNA, 1494 nt
Filed under: Pogona vitticeps (central bearded dragon)
Lineage: Eukaryota; Metazoa; Chordata; Lepidosauria; Squamata; Agamidae
Description: lncRNA (ENSPVIG00000009619.1)
Source: RNAcentral